RNA transcript from Paramormyrops kingsleyae, 726 nucleotides. It is a transcript of the gene named cytochrome c oxidase subunit 5Aa, with no coding region annotated. NCBI's taxonomy places the organism in Eukaryota, Metazoa, Chordata, Actinopteri, Osteoglossiformes, Mormyridae. The record is from RefSeq and is a predicted model, not a curated record.
ACGGCUACGUUAAUGGCGCUACGCAUGCGCACUGUCUUCGUUGUUCCGGUGCCCUUCUCUGACUAGCACGCUUGAGUUUCAGUUUCUCUGUCUCUUUUUUAAAUAGAGCAUCAUGUUUAGAUCAGCCGUGCUACGAUCUGUCUCUGGAAUCCGGGGUUUGGUGCGAUUACAGCCUUCUUACGCUGCUCCCCUGCAAGCCCGCUGUUACUCCCAUGGUGCGCAGGAGACCGACGAAGAGUUUGAUGCCCGCUGGGUAACCUACUUCAACAAACCUGACAUCGAUGCCUGGGAGCUCAGGAAAGGCAUGAACACUCUCAUCGGUUAUGAUCUUGUUCCCGAGCCAAAGAUUCUCGAUGCGGCUCUCCGAGCUUGCAGACGGUUAGACGACCUGGCCAGUGCUGUCCGCAUUCUUGAAGCAGUUAAGGAAAAAGCUGGUCCUCACAAAGAGAUCUACCCCUAUGUGAUUCAGGAGCUGAAGCCCACACUGGAGGAGCUGGGCAUCCCAACGCCAGAGGAACUUGGCAUUGACAGGGCGUAAUAUCAGCGUGUAGGGUAUUUGCAUAGUGAGUUCUGCUGAUGUUUAUUUACCGGUCUUCAGAAGAACCGCUGGUCCCACUGCACUUCAAGCCUCAGCCAAGCUUCCUGAUCUUCCUGUGACAUGAAAUCUGUCCAAAUGUGUAUAAAUAAUUAUGGAGCCCUAAUAAAGGACGGUUUAUCUUUAAAGGA